UCCACUUUGAUAGAGCAGAAACGAAGAAGAAAAAGGCGGAAGUGAUCGUCGUCCUUGUCUUCACUAUGGCCCCCCCUGUUGCGGUGUCGCCGCUCAUUAAGACGGCCAGGUGGUCUGCCCUGUUCCUCGGCGUCUUGUAUGGCAAACAGAGGUUUGAUUACCUGAAGCCCAUCGCAGAGGAGGAGCGGAAGUUGGAGGAGGCUGAAAAGAAGGCCCGAGAGGAGCAGGAGCGCAUUGCCAAACAAUUGGCUGAAGCUAAUUCAGACACCAUCCUCAAGUGAGCGAUCACUUACCUUCUGUUAUGUUCCAAAUUGAAUAAAAGCAGAUUAUUUUU
Phycodurus eques (leafy seadragon) is the source of this 334-nucleotide long non-coding RNA. RefSeq lists it as uncharacterized. Lineage: Eukaryota; Metazoa; Chordata; Actinopteri; Syngnathiformes; Syngnathidae. The record is from RefSeq and is a predicted model, not a curated record. The transcript is spliced from 4 exons.